Molecule: ribosomal RNA, 484 nt
Filed under: uncultured bacterium
Lineage: Bacteria
Description: bacterial SSU rRNA
Rfam family: Bacterial small subunit ribosomal RNA
Source: RNAcentral
AGAGUUGAUCUGGCUCAGGAUUAACGCUGGCGGCGUGCCUAAUACAUGCAAGUCGAAUGGUAGCAAUACCAUGGCGAACGGGUCGAGUAACACGUAGGUAACCUGUCUUUAAGCCGAGGAUAACCAUUGGAAACGAUGGAUAAUACUGGAUAGGACAUUUGAAGGCAUCUUUAAAUGUUUAAAGAUUUAUCACUUAGAGAGGGGCCUGCGGCGCAUUAGGCUAGUUGGUGAGGUGAAGGCUUACCAAGGCGAUGAUGCGUAGCCGGACUGAGAGGUUGAACGGCCACAAUGGAACUGAGAACGGUCCAUACUCCUACGGGAGGCAGCAGUAGGGAAUUUUCGGCAAUGGGCGGAAGCCUGAACCCGAGCAACGCCGCGUGAACGAAGAAGUAUUUCGGUAUGUAAAGUUCUUUUAUUAGGGACGAAAAGACAGAUUGACGGUACCUAAUGAAUAAGCUCCGGCUAACUACGUGCCAGCAGCCGC